CUAUGCGCCUUGCCAGCCCGCUCAGAAACUUAAAUGAAUUGACGGGGCCCGCACAAGCGGAGGAACAUGUGGUUUAAUUCGAUGAUACGCGAGGAACCUUACCUGGGCUUAAAUGGGGAGUGACAGCUGUCGAAAGAUGGUUUUCUUCGGACACUCUUCAAGGUGCUGCAUGGUUGUCGUCAGCUCGUGCCGUGAGGUGUCGGGUUAAGUCCCAUAACGAGCGCAACCCUUACCGUUAGUUACCAUCAGGUUAAGCUGGGGACUCUAGCGGGACUGCCACCGUAAGGUGAGAGGAAGGUGGGGAUGACGUCAAAUCAGCACGGCCCUUAUGUCCAGGGCUACACACGUGUUACAAUGGCCGGUACAAAGGGCAGCUACUUCGCGAGAAGAUGCUAAUCUCGAAAGCCGGUCUCAGUUCGGAUCGAAGUCUGCAACCCGACUUCGUGAAGCUGGAUUCGCUAGUAAUCGCGCAUCAGCCAUGGCGCGGUGAAUACGUUCCCGGGCCUU
This 507-nucleotide ribosomal RNA is filed under the name uncultured Sphingobacteriales bacterium. RNAcentral describes it as "bacterial SSU rRNA". It matches the Rfam family "Bacterial small subunit ribosomal RNA", at positions 903 to 1382 of the family's 1533-position model. The record is from RNAcentral. Lineage: Bacteria; Pseudomonadati; Bacteroidota; Sphingobacteriia; Sphingobacteriales.